This 1086-nucleotide long non-coding RNA is filed under the name Phascolarctos cinereus (koala). RNAcentral describes it as "lncRNA (ENSPCIG00000021995.2)". Lineage: Eukaryota; Metazoa; Chordata; Mammalia; Diprotodontia; Phascolarctidae. The record is from RNAcentral.
CCCUAAUUCUGAUUUAUUCCAUUUCUUACCCUCUUGGAAAUUAAGGUAGGUCCAUGGAAUUAGAUUGUAUUGCUGAGAUCCUCAAGAAAAUUGGAUCUAUCAGUUCAAUCAUUUGACCACAAGAGGGCACUGCUGACAUCUACUGUCCAAAUUUAUUCAGUGAGUAAUUUUGAACAUCAAUUCUGCCUUCUAUCCUGGGUCUUGUUUUUCUUACAAACGUAAAGACUCUCUAAGGGGGAAGAGUGAUUGGAGCUCUUGUAUGAAAGCAGAACCUCCAGAAGUUUAGAGAAUAAGCUCCAAGACUUCAAAUGGGACCAUGCAACUGCAGUUAGAGGCAGGGAACAGCCAUCUGCUGUGUGUAUCCCAGAGAUAGCUUGGGAAAGAAGUGUUAAGACCAAAGACUGAAGUCUACACACUGGACCACCCAACCUACCAUGAGCUCUUCUGUCAUCUCAGGGAUUGGGAUCUUGCUACUAUUAGGUGAGGCAAAGAGCUUGCAGAGUUUGUAUUUUUUCUCUUAAUGUUUUGUUUCCUCUCCUGCAUUCAUGUGUGGUGUAACAAAGCAAAACUCUUAGGAGAGAUGAAUGGAAAACUCAGUAACCAAGAAGGGGGACUUUGCUAGUCUCUCUGAAGGCUUCUAUCCUGUCCCUUCAAAGGGAACAUGCCAAUAAAGGAUCUUGGACACCAACCUGACUUUUUAUUUCCUCUUCUAGGUUUCGCUGGGAGUAAUUCUCUGUUUCAGUUUCCAUCUGAGUCUAUUUCCAGAAAUGUUUUCAGCUUCUAUCCUGUUCCCUACUCUCAUCAUCAAGAGGACCAAACUUUGUGAAGGAGCUCACUAUCCCUGCCACCAACUGUCAACCAAAUGCUGAGGAUGGGCAGGUAAGUCCCAAAUCCCAGGACUCUGUUUCCAGCCUGCCUUCAUAGUCCAUCAUCCAGGAAAGCAAGACUUGUAUAGAUGGAAUCUGCUAACCACACCAUUAGGUGAUAUAGGCCCUACUUACUCAGUAGCCACAGCUAUUGAAAGACUCAGAAAAGAAAGUCAAUGCUACCAAAGUCUUUGGCACAGACAAAUAGUUCAAUAUCAGA